AGAGUUUGAUCCUGGCUCAGAAUCAACGCUGGCGGCGUGCCUAACACAUGCAAGUCGAACGAGAAAGUGGAGCAAUCCAUGAGUAAAGUGGCGCACGGGUGAGUAACACGUGACUAACCUACCCUGGAGUGGGGGAUAACUGAGGGAAACCUUAGCUAAUACCGCAUAAUACCUACGGGUCAAAGGAGCAAUUCGCUUCAGGAGGGGGUCGCGGCCGAUUAGUUAGUUGGCGGGGUAAUGGCCCACCAAGACAGUGAUCGGUAUCCGGCCUGAGAGGGCGCACGGACACACUGGAACUGAAACACGGUCCAGACUCCUACGGGAGGCAGCAGUGGGGAAUUUUGCGCAAUGGGGGAAACCCUGACGCAGCAACGCCGCGUGGAGGAUGAAGUCCUUCGGGACGUAAACUCCUUUCGAUCGGGACGAUUAUGACGGUACCGGAAGAAGAAGCCCCGGCUAACUUCGUGCCAGCAGCCGCGGUAAUACGAGGGGGGCGAGCGUUGUUCGGAAUUAUUGGGCGUAAAGGGUGCGUAGGCGGUUUUGUAAGUCUUAUGUGAAAUCUAUGGGCUCAACUCAUAGACUGCAUGAGAAACUGCAGGGCUUGAGUAUGGGAGAGGUGAGUGGAAUUCCUGGUGUAGCGGUGAAAUGCGUAGAUAUCAGGAGGAACACCUGUGGCGAAAGCGGCUCACUGGACCAUAACUGACGCUGAUGCACGAAAGCUAGGGGAGCAAACAGGAUUAGAUACCCUAGUAGUCC
Molecule: ribosomal RNA, 756 nt
Filed under: uncultured bacterium
Lineage: Bacteria
Description: bacterial SSU rRNA
Rfam family: Bacterial small subunit ribosomal RNA
Source: RNAcentral